AUUGAACGCUGGCGGCAUGCCUUACACAUGCAAGUCGAACGGUAACAGGUCUUCGGAUGCUGACGAGUGGCGAACGGGCGGGUAAUACAUCGGAACGUGCCCGAUCGUGGGGGAUAACGAGGCGAAAGCUUUGCUAAUACCGCAUACGAUCUACGGAUGAAAGCGGGGGAUCUUCGGACCUCGCGCGGACGGAGCGGCCGAUGGCAGAUUCGGUAGUUGGUGGGAUAAAAGCUUACCAAGCCGACGAUCUGUAGCUGGUCUGGGAGGCUGAUCGGCCACACUGGGACUGGGACACGGCCCAGACUCCUGCGGGAGGCAGCAGUGGGGAAUGUUGGACAAAGGGCGAGAGCCUGAUCCAGCCAUGCCGCGUGCAGGAUGAAGGCCUUCGGGUUGUAAACUGCUUUUGUACGGAACGAAAAGCCUCUUUCUGAUAAAGAGGGGUCGUGACGGUACCGGAAGAAUAAGCACCGGCUAACUACGUG
RNAcentral lists this ribosomal RNA (482 nucleotides) under uncultured bacterium. RNAcentral's name for it is "partial 16S ribosomal RNA". It matches the Rfam family "Bacterial small subunit ribosomal RNA", at positions 30 to 507 of the family's 1533-position model. The record is from RNAcentral.